Molecule: ribosomal RNA, 630 nt
Filed under: uncultured Rhizophagus
Lineage: Eukaryota; Fungi; Glomeromycota; Glomeromycetes; Glomerales; Glomeraceae
Description: LSU rRNA
Rfam family: Eukaryotic large subunit ribosomal RNA
Source: RNAcentral
UAAGCGGAGGAAAAGAAAAUAACAAUGAUUCCCUUAGUAACGGCGAGUGAAGGGGGAAAAGCUCAAAUUUUAAAUCGGCAUAGGUUUACCUAGUCGAGUUGUAAUUUGAAGAAGCGUUUACCGCAUCCAGGUCGGCCCAAAUCCUUUGGGAUAAGGUAUCAUGGAGGGUGAGAAUCCCGUCCGGUUGACCUCAGGAUGUUUACGUUACGCUCUCUAAGAGUCGAGUUGUUUGGGAUUGCAGCUCAAAAUGGGAGGUAAAUUUCUCCUAAGGCUAAAUACAGGCGAGAGACCGAUAGCGAACAAGUACCGUGAGGGAAAGAUGAAAAGAACUUUGGAAAAGAGAGUUAAAAGCACGUGAAAUUGUUGAAAGGGAAGCGCUUGCAGCCAGACUUGCCUGUAGUUGCUCAUCCGGGUUUCUACCCGGUGCACUCUUCUACGGGCAGGCCAGCAUCAGUUUGGGCGGUUGGAUAAAGGUCUCUGUCAUGUACCUCCCUUCGGGGGAGAUCUUAUAGGGGAGACGACAUGCAACCAGCCUGGACUGAGGUCCGCGCAUCUGCUAGGAUGCUGGCGUAAUGGCUGUAAGCGGCCCGUCUUGAAACACGGACCAAGGAGUCUAACAUGUAUGCGAGU